This 442-nucleotide ribosomal RNA is filed under the name uncultured bacterium. Its description in RNAcentral is "partial 16S ribosomal RNA". It matches the Rfam family "Bacterial small subunit ribosomal RNA", at positions 338 to 795 of the family's 1533-position model. The record is from RNAcentral.
CCUACGGGAGGCAGCAGUGGGGGAUAUUGUACAAUGGCGGAAACCCUGAUGCAGCGACGCCGCGUGGGCGAAGACGUAUUUCGGUAUGUAAAGCCCUAUCAGCAGGGAAGAAGUAAUUACGGUACCUAAGUAAGAAGCACCGGCUAAAGACGUGGCAGCAGCCGAGGUAAUACGGAUGGUGCAGGCGUUAACCGGAUUUACUGGGUGUAAAGGGAGUGCAGGGGGUACGGGGAGCUUGAUGGGAAAGCCCGGGGGCCACCCGCAGGACUGCAAUGAGAACUGCCAGGCUCGAGUGCCGGUGAGGUAGGCGGAAUAAGUAAAGUAGCGGUGAAAUGCGUAGAUAUUAGGUAGAACACCGGUGGCGAAGGCAGCCUACCAGACGGCGACUGACGCUGAGGCACGAGAGCGUGGGGAGCGAACAGGAUUAGAUACCCCUGUAGUC